RNAcentral lists this ribosomal RNA (305 nucleotides) under uncultured bacterium. RNAcentral describes it as "bacterial SSU rRNA". It matches the Rfam family "Bacterial small subunit ribosomal RNA", at positions 337 to 634 of the family's 1533-position model. The record is from RNAcentral.
GCCUACGGGGGGCAGCAGUAGGGAAUCUACCACAAUGGGCGAAAGCCUGAUGGAGCAACGCCGCGUGGGUGAAGAAGGUCUUCGGAUCGUAAAACCCUGUUGUUAGAGAAGAAAGUGCGUGAGAGUAACUGUUCACGUUUCGACGGUAUCUAACCAGAAAGCCACGGCUAACUACGUGCCAGCAGCCGCGGUAAUACGUAGGUGGCAAGCGUUAUCCGGAUUUAUUGGGCGUAAAGGGAACGCAGGCGGUCUUUUAAGUCUGAUGUGAAAGCCUUCGGCUUAACCGGAGUAGUGCAUUGGAAACU